AUCAACCAAAUGUUAAGAUCUUCGAAAAUGCCGAUGCUGCUUUAGAGAUUAUACUGUUUUCCAGCUAAAGCAUAAGAUUUAAACAAAUAACAGCAACUUUUUCAAGUGGAGCACUAACAACUAUAUUUAACAGGCACAUGCGACUGUAUAAAAGUUGCACUCACUCUUAACCAGCCAACACACCAAUUUGGUUUUGGACCACUGGAUAUAUUAAUCUCUCUAAAUGCCGUGGGAUUGCUGGAAGUAGGGAUGCCACGUCAGCUAUCACUUUUGCAAAAAAAGCCACCACAGUUCUGUUAAUUACGUGCCAGGCCCCAUUGUUGUCGUCCGUUGGAUCUCGCACUAACGUCGAUCUGACCACCCACGUGUUCCUUUGUGGCUGCCUAAGCCGUGCGCUCGUCAGAUUGGGAAUGAACGGCGCAGAUGUCACCACACCGCACCAAAACCCUAGCCGCCCUCCUCCUCUCACCCGCGUCGUCACAACUAGCGCCGCCACCCAUCCUCACCCGCGUGCCUCCUCACCCUCCUCCAGCCAUCUUCACCGCGCCGCCGCCGCUCUCUCCGAGAGAGGCCAUCGCAUAAGUCACCGGUGGAUCUGGCCACAGGGAAGCGAGGGACACGAGUCGCCGCCACCAUCUUCUCCUCUUCCAUCCCCACCCCACCAUCGCCUCCCUCGCUCUCGCCCUCUUCUAAUCGCUCUCCACUCCAUUUAGUGCCAGAUCCGAGCGAUGGCUAGGACGCCAGGGACGAUAAGAGAGAUUGAGAGCGGCGGCUCAGCCAUGACUAGGACAACAAUAACAAGCCAUGACUGUACCAGCGUAUGGCGACGACUCGGAUAAACCCAAUUUGGAUGAUAAUACAUAUGCAUUGAUGGUAUUCUUUGUGGAUGAUCUUACAAUGGCAAUGGUUCUCACGAAAGAUUCUAUGUAAACCUAACAAUCUUGGCAUACUAUCACAUCCAACCUUUCAAUUGGGCCACACUGAAGGUAC
This is a long non-coding RNA of Oryza sativa Japonica Group (Japanese rice), 990 nucleotides long. RefSeq lists it as uncharacterized. Lineage: Eukaryota; Viridiplantae; Streptophyta; Magnoliopsida; Poales; Poaceae. The record is from RefSeq and is a predicted model, not a curated record.